Molecule: long non-coding RNA, 2325 nt
Organism: Quercus robur (English oak)
Lineage: Eukaryota; Viridiplantae; Streptophyta; Magnoliopsida; Fagales; Fagaceae
Exons: 2
Source: RefSeq, a predicted model, not a curated record
GUGAUAGAAGUGAGAGAGAGAGAGAGGGUCGUGGUCAUUUCUGGAACCCAAGACCAGUCGGUAGGGUCAGGAGGGGUCAGCUACUUUUAUUACUUUGUUUGUCCUUUUCACCUCUCUAUCUCUCUUUCCCUAGCCUUUUUAUCCCUCUAUCUCUUCCCUUCUCUCUUCUCACUUCUCACUUCUCUAUAUCUCAAUCUCAUUCAUCCACUUCUUCAUCUCAUUUCCAUUUCUUAGCCACCACUAUGAUCACAGUUCACACACACCCAUAUAUCUCUCUCUAUAUAGAGAGAUAAUUGGGUAUGCGAAAAUAGAGAACAAGGAAGAAGAGGAGGCUUGUUGUUUUGAGGGGAAUGUUGUCUGGCUCGAGGCCACCAGCUAGAUCUAUGAUCUUUUUCUCAAUUUUUAACAUUUUUUUUUCCAGUUUAUUAGAUCUUUGAGAUACCCAGUUGAGAAAGAUCAUAUUUUUGAUCAUAAGUUAAUGACCUCGGACCAGGCUUCAUUCCCCCCAAUAAUUGCUUCCCUCUAUUCACACUGAUCAUCACAAUCUCCUUUUGAUAAUUCUCUCUUCAAUGUUUUGCUUAAUCUGCCUUGAUCUAUUGUGAUGGGCAUAUCAACCAGAUCCUUUGGAGGUAUGCUUAUAAGGUUACUACUUAUACUCUCUCUGUGGCUUAGGUUCUACACUCUGAUCAGAUUUUCUUUAUGCAUUUAACUGAUACAUAUGCUUUAUUUAUCAUUGUUACUUUAGUUAUGUUUUCAAGAUUUGAUCCAACGAUGUUACAAGCUUUUGUAAUGCGUGCGUUUCACACUAAUUACGUUGCUUCAAGGAAGGUGAAAGUAUAAUUUUUCAGGGCUGACUGAUGUGUGAACUCUAUUUAAGAAGCAACCCACUUAACAAGUGCAAUAUCUAUUAUUUGUUAUUUGCAGCCCCAGAAAUCUACGAGGUUUUGUUUGGAUUGGAGCAUUAAUAUUUUGAAUGUGAAUUAUGAUGUAUAUUUACAUAAAACAGAAAAGAAAAAGAAAAAAAGAAUGAUGUGAUAGAUUGGAUGUCUGAUUUGCUUAGACCUUCUAGUGUUGUCUAAUACAUGAGCAAGUUGCAGUCUAGAUUUGUGAAUGUGAGGGGAGAAAAGAGAACCCUAGAUUCAGAAAAAUGUGAGGGGAGAAAGAUAAUGAGAAGUUCAUUAUAUCAAAAAAAUAUGCAUUUUUUCUCUCUAAAAUCUAGAUAUUGUGAAUGGUGGAUAUCGUGUUCAUGUUCCUCUACCUAUAAAACAACAAUGUAUGGUUUUUGCUCUGCGAUUUGUAACCCUUCUUUGGAAAAAGUCAUGCAAUACAGAAAUCAAAUAAUUUAGUUUAAUUUCGACUUCUAAUUUGGAAGUAUGGUUUUGAUGAAUAAGUUGCACAAUGAAGAUCGGAAGGUUAAAGGUGGGAUGUAAUAUGCAAGAAGUUAUUUUUCACAAUUUUAAUACAACAUUUAUCACAAUUUUUUCUUCCACAAUUGCUAACAUGACCUAUUGUGAUAUUAGUAUAUUUUUAAAGAUCUUAGGUGGUUAAACCAGUUGAAAAUGAUGUUCAUCAUAUCAGAACUGACUAUAUCAAUUGUUAUGAAUAAUGUUGCUCUGUAAGAAGAUGACGAACAUUACAUCUUUGAGCUCACUUCUUAACAGUAUGUCUUGGCAAAACUGUGCUUAGAACUCAGAGAGAGAGAAGUUACAUGCAUUGCGAAAUUGUUUCUUAUGUUCUCAAGGGUAUCAUUUGUUGAAUUCAUCCCAGAACAGUGGACUACUGUACAGAAAGAACUAUAAAGGAAACACGUGAUUGGAAAGAUGAAUGAGAGAAGCGUCACCAAAGAGGACAACUGUGAUGGGUCUCUACUCUCUACUCUCUAGUGCUUUGUGGCGUUGUGUGGAGUGUUGUGCCUCAUUCUGUCAUCAAUUUCUGAAGCUUGAGGCCUAUGCAACACUGAAUGCCUUUAAUGGUCUGACUUUCUUUCUGAAUCAUUUACCAUUAUACAGUUGAGUCAACAUCAGCAGUUACAACAUGGAUACCCUUUUACCCUCACUAUGACUAAUGUCAACAAUGAUAUUUCUAUUUAGCAGAACUUUGUGUAAUAAACUCAUUGCUUAGCAUUUCAAUUACUUUUUUUUUGGGGGGGAAUCUACUAGUAAGGAAUCUAGUAUACAAAAAAUGUCAGCAUACAGUGUUACAAGUUACGAACCCCCACACACUGUUUCCAACCCAUAUCAAAAGCACCUUAUAAUAAAUACAGCUCAAUGUGUAAGAAUUAUAAGCUGAUAGAAGAGCCUAGAUAAAAUGCUCUAUUUCGAUGAA